AAAAAGACAUCAUAAAGGACAUUUUGGAAUACAUUUUUUUUUUUAUAAAUUUUAAAGCAUUGGAAAAAGACUUUUGGAUUAUAAUGAAAAUUUAAAGACCUUUGCUGAAGUUGGAUAAUUGGAUAUAGAAUUAGGAUUCUUCUAAGCCUUUGAUAGGCAUUGUGACAUUAUUAUGGGCAUGAGGUGUUAUAAUUCGUCGACUCUCGCAUAAAGACUAAAAAAAAACAUGUUGGAUUCAAAGAGUCAGUAUAUGGAAUCAGCUUCCAAUAUGUAUCCAGUGUAUUCUUCUCAUUGAUGCUUCCCUUCCCCUGUUAAAGACAGUUUUUCUUGGAUGAUGAUGCAAUGUCACUCCUUCGUGUUUGGGGGGUUCCAAGUAGUGGUGAG
RNAcentral lists this unclassified non-coding RNA (384 nucleotides) under Hevea brasiliensis (rubber tree). Lineage: Eukaryota; Viridiplantae; Streptophyta; Magnoliopsida; Malpighiales; Euphorbiaceae. The record is from RNAcentral.